UACGAAGGGGGCGAGCGUUGCUCGGAAUCACUGGGCGUAAAGGGUGCGUAGGCGGGUUCUUAAGUCAGAGGUGAAAUCCUGGAGCUCAACUCCAGAACUGCCUUUGAUACUGAGAGUCUUGAGUUCGGGAGAGGUGAGUGGAACUGCGAGUGUAGAGGUGAAAUUCGUAGAUAUUCGCAAGAACACCAGUGGCGAAGGCGGCUCACUGGCCCGAUACUGACGCUGAGGCACGAAAGCGUGGGGAGCAAACAGG
RNAcentral lists this ribosomal RNA (253 nucleotides) under uncultured bacterium. RNAcentral's name for it is "partial 16S ribosomal RNA". It matches the Rfam family "Bacterial small subunit ribosomal RNA", at positions 524 to 776 of the family's 1533-position model. The record is from RNAcentral.